RNAcentral lists this unclassified non-coding RNA (375 nucleotides) under uncultured bacterium. RNAcentral describes it as "contains 16S-23S intergenic spacer region". The record is from RNAcentral.
UCUCGGCUUAUCACCGGCAGUCCCCCUAGAGUGCCCAACUAAAUGAUGGCAACUAAGGGCGAGGGUUGCGCUCGUUGCGGGACUUAACCCAACAUCUCACGACACGAGCUGACUACAGCCAUGCAGCACCUGUCAGGGGCCCUUACGGACACCGCAUCUCUGCGGCUUUUCCCCUGAUGUCAAGCCCUGGUAAGGUUCCUCGCGUUGCGUCGAAUUAAGCCACAUGCUCCGCCGCUUGUGCGGGUCCCCGUCAAUUCCUUUGAGUUUUAGCCUUGCGGCCGUACUCCCCAGGCGGGGUGCUUAAUGCGUUUGCGACGGCACGGAGGGGGUUGAUGCCCCCCACACCUAGCACCCAACGUUUACGGCUGGGACUAC